GGCCUCAUAGUGUAAUGGAUUAGCACAAAGGCUUGCGGAGCCUUUAAUCGGGGUUCAAUUCCCCGUGGGGCCG
This 73-nucleotide transfer RNA is filed under the name archaeon. RNAcentral's name for it is "tRNA-Arg". It matches the Rfam family "tRNA". From Rfam's summary of the family: Transfer RNA (tRNA) molecules are approximately 80 nucleotides in length. The record is from RNAcentral. RNAcentral also lists the same sequence under 1 other name.